RNAcentral lists this long non-coding RNA (205 nucleotides) under Elaeis guineensis (African oil palm). Its description in RNAcentral is "long non-coding RNA (EGUI_LNC053172)". The record is from RNAcentral. Lineage: Eukaryota; Viridiplantae; Streptophyta; Magnoliopsida; Arecales; Arecaceae.
UUGCCCAUCAAGAAUCAUCAAUCAUCAAGAUGACGUUCGAUGAGUCUCACAAUCCAUCAGUGAUACUUAGCAGUACGUAGUGGUAAUCCAGUAGAAUGGAAUAUUGAACCUCUAGGUACAGUUACUGUAUAAUUCAAUUUUUCUAUUAUGAGUCCCAACAAGAUGCAUGUCUUGAUAACUCGUCAAACUCAUUCGUCCGUCAUAU